Molecule: ribosomal RNA, 700 nt
Filed under: uncultured bacterium
Lineage: Bacteria
Description: bacterial SSU rRNA
Rfam family: Bacterial small subunit ribosomal RNA
Source: RNAcentral
AGAGUUUGAUCAUGGCUCAGAUUGAACGCUGGCGGCAUGCCUUACACAUGCAAGUCGAACGGCAGCACGGGGGCAACCCUGGUGGCGAGUGGCGAACGGGUGAGUAACAUAUCGGAACGUGCCCUGGAGUGGGGGAUAACUAGUCGAAAGAUUAGCUAAUACCGCAUACGAUCUACGGAUGAAAGUGGGGGAUCGCAAGACCUCAUGCUCGUGGAGCGGCCGAUAUCUGAUUAGCUAGUUGGUGGGGUAAAGGCCUACCAAGGCAUCGAUCAGUAGCUGGUCUGAGAGGACGACCAGCCACACUGGGACUGAGACACGGCCCAGACUCCUACGGGAGGCAGCAGUGGGGAAUUUUGGACAAUGGGCGCAAGCCUGAUCCAGCAAUGCCGCGUGAGUGAAGAAGGCCUUCGGGUUGUAAAGCUCUUUUGUCAGGGAAGAAACGGUGGAGGUUAAUACCUUCUGCUAAUGACGGUACCUGAAGAAUAAGCACCGGCUAACUACGUGCCAGCAGCCGCGGUAAUACGUAGGGUGCAAGCGUUAAUCGGAAUUACUGGGCGUAAAGCGUGCGCAGGCGGUUGUGCAAGACAGAUGUGAAAUCCCCGGGCUCAACCUGGGAAUUGCAUUUGUGACUGCACGGCUAGAGUGUGUCAGAGGGGGGUAGAAUUCCACGUGUAGCAGUGAAAUGCGUAGAGAUGUGGAG